Molecule: ribosomal RNA, 818 nt
Filed under: Nocardioides sp. B2329
Lineage: Bacteria; Bacillati; Actinomycetota; Actinomycetes; Propionibacteriales; Nocardioidaceae
Description: bacterial SSU rRNA
Rfam family: Bacterial small subunit ribosomal RNA
Source: RNAcentral
CCAUGCAGUCGAGCGGAAGGCCACUUCGGUGGUACUCGAGCGGCGAACGGGUGAGUAACACGUGAGUAAUCUGCCCCUGGCUUCGGGAUAGCCACCGGAAACGGUGAUUAAUACCGGAUAUGACAUGGACUCGCAUGGGUUUGUGUGGAAAGUUUUUCGGCCAGGGAUGUGCUCGCGGCCUAUCAGCUUGAUGGUGAGGUAAUGGCUCACCAUGGCUUCGACGGGUAGCCGGCCUGAGAGGGUGACCGGCCACACUGGGACUGAGACACGGCCCAGACUCCUACGGGAGGCAGCAGUGGGGAAUAUUGGACAAUGGGCGGAAGCCUGAUCCAGCAACGCCGCGUGAGGGAUGACGGCCUUCGGGUUGUAAACCUCUUUCAGUACCGACGAAGCGCAAGUGACGGUAGGUACAGAAGAAGCACCGGCCAACUACGUGCCAGCAGCCGCGGUAAUACGUAGGGUGCGAGCGUUGUCCGGAAUUAUUGGGCGUAAAGGGCUCGUAGGCGGUUUGUCGCGUCGGGAGUGAAAACGCCGUGCUUAACACGGCGCUUGCUUCCGAUACGGGCAGACUAGAGGUAUUCAGGGGAGAACGGAAUUCCUGGUGUAGCGGUGAAAUGCGCAGAUAUCAGGAGGAACACCGGUGGCGAAGGCGGUUCUCUGGGAAUGACCUGACGCUGAGGAGCGAAAGUGUGGGGAGCGAACAGGAUUAGAUACCCUGGUAGUCCACACCGUAAACGUUGGGCGCUAGGUGUGGGGUCCAUUCCACGGAUUCCGUGCCGCAGCUAACGCAUUAAGCGCCCCGCCUGGGGAGUACGGCC